Long non-coding RNA from Malaclemys terrapin pileata, 388 nucleotides. RefSeq lists it as uncharacterized. NCBI's taxonomy places the organism in Eukaryota, Metazoa, Chordata, Testudines, Emydidae. The transcript is spliced from 4 exons. The record is from RefSeq and is a predicted model, not a curated record.
GUCCACUAGGAUUUCAGCAGAUACUCUAUAAGGGCAUGGCUGGGUUUGUUAAAGUCCGGAGAAAGAACUUUCAAGAACCAGCGAAGAAAAUAUGUCAAAACUCCAAAUUCUAAAGAGCUAGCCCAUCUGGGCAGAGCAACAAGAUUCCAAUCAAGAAUGAUGCAGAGAAGCCAUGUAAUGAAAGCCAAGACCAAACUGGGACUCCACGAUGCAACUGUCAAAAGCCCCAGGAGCCAAGGGCAACUUUCAGACUUGAGAACCUCUGCAAUGAGUCAGAUCUGCUACACUCUAGUAUUGGGCAACCAUCAUGGUGCGAUGAUCUGCUAAGCCUGAAAAUGAAGAUUUAUGCUGGAAAGCCUGGCAGACCCUAAAAUGCAGCACUGCAAGU